Molecule: long non-coding RNA, 1631 nt
Organism: Temnothorax curvispinosus
Lineage: Eukaryota; Metazoa; Arthropoda; Insecta; Hymenoptera; Formicidae
Exons: 3
Source: RefSeq, a predicted model, not a curated record
GAAAAAUUCGUUAUCGAAAAAGAAAUUCUCUCAUUGGGCCAUCCGACAUAGGUGACAUACGACUGAUUGUAUUAGAACCGGCCUUAAAUGAACAUUCGAUGCAUCACAUUUUUCUGUAAUCUGAAUAGUCGGACCUGGCGAUUCGUACUUAUAUUACUCUGCGAUGUGCGAUCCGCGAGCAACGACAUCAGAAAUCAGAACGGGCCGCGGGCGCCUUGGUAACAUGAGCAGUGGGGAUAGAGAGGGGUAGGCUUUAUGCGAUACGCAUACCCGGCAUACCGAACUAACCCACCGCGGCGAGGCGGCGACCGCGCACCGUGUGUAGUGUGUAUUCACCUUACCCCCACUCUAUCCCCACUACUCAUGUUUACCGCGACGCCCGUGACCUGUUCUGACGUCAGACGCGCCCCAGUUCCCGUUCCCAAUGUUCCCAUAUCGCAUAUAUCGCGGAGUAAAUACACGAGUCGCCGGGUCCGAUUGUUUAGCUUGCGAAAAACUGUGAUACAUAUAUCGGCUGCAUUCCGAUAUUCACUGUCAGCAACUUUCAGUACUGAAAAUCUACAGUAUACGUGACGUAAAAUAUAGAUUUGCAGUACUGACAGUGAAUAUCGGAAUGCAGCCAUCGAAAGUUCAUUUAAUUCAUGUGCUUCGAGGAAUUUAUACGGAUACCGAGGUAUAUCGCAUUCGAUUACAUUUUUUCGGAUAAUCCGUAGUUAAUCAAAGUCGCGUAAUCGCGUAAUCGCGUUCUCGAGACAGUUGCUCCGGGCGAGUGAAGUUAGCCGUGCGCGAUUUACGAAAUUCUCUCCGCCACCUUCGCUUCACUUGUCGUGUCUACCUGCGCGCGGGAAUCGCGGGAUGUCACGGUGCGGCGUCAUGGCGUCAUGGGCGUCAAGCGGAUCGUAUAGUUUCGUUCGUAGUUUCUUCGACCGCGACGUAAUUCCACGUAAUUCUUCUGUCGCCGUGUAACUAAGUUUCUUAGUACCGCGUCGCGAGAUUAAUACCGGGAGUGCCGUGUGCCUUUAGUGUCGCGCGAUCAUAAGAGGAGACGAUAUCGACGAUAUCGUCGAUUUUCGCUCGUGAACGUCGUCGCGUUGUGAGUGAGUGCGACAAUGGACCAAGGACCAACGGAGUAACGGAGGACGAUCGAGGAGAGGAGAACGGGGCCUGGGAGGCAUCGGGCGACGGCGGAGCGACCGUGGGAUCAACGCAGAAUUACAACUCCGCUGUUGCGCAUCGGCCGGUGAGUUAUUUUUUGAGUAGAAGGGAUAAAUAUAUGUAUAUUAAGUUUAUUUGUAUGGUACAAAUUAGUACAAAUUCAGUCCUUCAAAUUUCUGUAUUUAAUUUUCUUUUUUUCUUUUUUUUUCUUGUGGUCUUUCUAGCUUAAUGCUAAGGUAGCACCGCCACGAUUUUCUCCGAAAUGGCACGGGAUACAAAAUUGUUAUUAGUGGUACAAAUUAGUACGAAAUGGGUACUAAUUAUUCUGAUAGGUCCGGUUUGAUUCUGCCGAUUUGGUCCUGCUAGCUUAGAAGAGGUGCGGGGGUGUCGCCAGCGGUGUUUGUGCGAAUGGUUACGGGGUCUGUUGCAUAGUCACGGUCUCCUGCGGCGGGAUAACCGCCGACAACAACACACAC